Long non-coding RNA from Neopelma chrysocephalum (saffron-crested tyrant-manakin), 819 nucleotides. RefSeq lists it as uncharacterized. The transcript has 3 exons. Lineage: Eukaryota; Metazoa; Chordata; Aves; Passeriformes; Pipridae. The record is from RefSeq and is a predicted model, not a curated record.
UUGCAGAUGGACAGGAAAUAAGGCCUGAGUGACAACUUUAUUUGCAGAGGCAGAAACUGUGAGGACUAAGACGAAGGACAUCAAUUUCUCACUAUUGACUGAUGCAGAAGAUUGUAAGCAUGGGCCUGAUAUGCAGGUGGUAAUAGGCAUGAAGAAUAUGAGGAUUAUCUGGCUGCCUCAGUAACUUGCAGAAAUGGAAGCUGGUGAGAAAGAUAAAAUCUUUUCUUAUCUUUGGCUUAUCAUCCCUAGGAUGUUCACCUCAUCCACUUUUUGUAAAGAAUCAGACAAAAAUUAGCCUAGGGGUACACAGAGAUGGCUGAAACUCUCUUCUAAAACAAAACAAAAGCUAUCAGCAAAACAAUGCAGGUAACAUAUCAGGUAUUCUGAUUCUGGCUUAUACCUUAGGAUGGGCCUUCCAGAGAGAAAGUUAAUGACAGACAGGCAAUGUUGGAGCUAUAACUAGUACCUUUUGGCAGUUGGAAGGGUGCCGUGGUGUAUUUUGGUUUUCUUAACAAAAGAGGGCCCUUCUUCCAGCUGCUACUAUAAUGAUUAGUGAAAUGUGGAAGCUCAUUAAAGGCUCAUGCAUUACACUAGAAUUUAUUUUACUGAUUAAAGUAGCAAGUGGCAAGAUAGUUAAGAGCAAGAAGAUUGGUGUUUGUGCAGAAGCAUAUGAGAGACACGAAUAAGGCGAUCUGCAUAAUACACUCUGGUGGGAGUUCCUUUUCAAUUUAGCUCAUCUACAUGGGAAGUUCAUUAUGGUAUUUCCUUUAUAACUUACAUCUCUUCCAGAGUAGCAGAAUAAAACAAUUGAUGGUGCAG